AGUGAACGCUGGCGGUAGGCCUAACACAUGCAAGUCGAACGGCAGCACAGUAAGAGCUUGUUCUUACGGGUGGCGAGUGGCGGACGGGUGAGGAAUACAUCGGAAUCUACUUUUUCGUGGGUGAGAACGUAGGGAAACUUACGCUAAUACCGCAUACGACCUACGGGUGAAAGCAGGGGAUCUUCGGACCUUGCGCGAUUGAAUGAGCCGAUGUCGGAUUAGCUAGUUGGCGGGGUAAAGGCCCACCAAGGCGACGAUCCGUAGCUGGUCUGAGAGGAUGAUCAGCCACACUGGAACUGAGACACGGUCCAGACUCCUACGGGAGGCAGCAGUGGGGAAUAUUGGACAAUGGGCGAAAGCCUGAUCCAGCCAUACCGCGUGGGUGAAGAAGGCCUUCGGAUUGUAAAGCCCUUUUGUUGGGAAAGAAAAGCAGCAGGUUAAUACCCCGCUGUUCUGACGGUACCCAAAGAAUAAGCACCGGCUAACUUCGUG
Molecule: ribosomal RNA, 492 nt
Filed under: uncultured bacterium
Lineage: Bacteria
Description: partial 16S ribosomal RNA
Rfam family: Bacterial small subunit ribosomal RNA
Source: RNAcentral